AGGAACACGUGAAGAACUUGCCCCGGAGAGGGGAAUAACAGUGGGAAACCACUGCUAAUACCUCAUAUUGUUACUUGAUCUCCUGAUCGAGUAAUGAAAUGGAUUCCGCUCCGGGAGAGCUUCGCGCCCUAUCAGCUUGUUGGUGAGGUAACGGCUCACCAAGGCUACGACGGGUAGCUGGUCUGAGAGGACGACCAGCCACACUGGGACUGAGACACGGCCCAG
RNAcentral lists this ribosomal RNA (225 nucleotides) under uncultured bacterium. RNAcentral describes it as "partial 16S ribosomal RNA". It matches the Rfam family "Bacterial small subunit ribosomal RNA", at positions 109 to 334 of the family's 1533-position model. The record is from RNAcentral.